RNAcentral lists this ribosomal RNA (305 nucleotides) under uncultured bacterium. RNAcentral describes it as "bacterial SSU rRNA". It matches the Rfam family "Bacterial small subunit ribosomal RNA", at positions 335 to 637 of the family's 1533-position model. The record is from RNAcentral.
UUGCCUACGGGGCGCAGCAGUGAGGAAUAUUGGUCAAUGGGCGGAAGCCUGAACCAGCCAAGUCGCGUGAGGGAAUAAGGCCCUACGGGUCGUAAACCUCUUUUGCCGGGGAGCAAGGGCGGGGACGUGUCCCGGCCCGGAGAGUACCCGGAGAAAAAGCAUCGGCUAACUCCGUGCCAGCAGCUGCGGUAAUACGGAGGAUGCGAGCGUUAUCCGGAUUUAUUGGGUUUAAAGGGUGCGUAGGCGGGCUGUUAAGUCAGCGGUCAAAUGUCGGGGCUCAACCCCGGCCUGCCGUUGAAACUGGG